This 1490-nucleotide unclassified non-coding RNA is filed under the name uncultured fungus. Its description in RNAcentral is "sequence contains 18S rRNA gene, ITS1, 5.8S rRNA gene, ITS2, 28S rRNA gene". The stretch from base 546 to 1490 matches the Rfam family "Eukaryotic large subunit ribosomal RNA", at positions 1 to 961 of the family's 3401-position model. The record is from RNAcentral. Lineage: Eukaryota; Fungi.
GGAAGGAUCAUUCCUAAAAAGCGUUGGCUUUUGUCAACCAGUAGCACUGGUGGGGUUGCCUUCUUGCAGCCUUAGAACUGUGAGCCAAGAUAACCCGUAUCCAAAACUUUUAACCAGGAAACGUUUGAAUAGUCUGAUUAUUAAAGGGUCUAAUCGAAAGAUAUGGAUACCUAUUUAAAAUUAAACAACUAUUGGCAACGGAUACCUCGGUUCUCACAACGAUGAAGAACGCAGCGAAACGCGAUAAUUAGUGCGAAUUGCAGAAUUCAGUGAAUCAUCGAGUCUUUGAACGCAAGUUGCGCCCUUGGGUACUCCUGGGGGCAUGCCUCUUUCAGUGUCGUUUAAAAACCUCAAAUCAUCUUUGAUUUGGAGAAUGAGCUAUCUUUAAAGUUGCUCUAAGGUUCUGGAUUAUCACUAUGUCUUUAGUCAAUGAUGGCCAAAGUUGUUUGAAUGAAGACAAUUACUAAUUGCUAGUUGUUCCUAGUUCGUGCAUUUCUUAACUAUUAUUAAAGUCAUAGCAAUCCCGCACACCAAUAUUACAAACAAGACCUGAGAGAGGUAAGAUUACCCGCCGAACUUAAGCAUAUCACUAAGCGGAGGAAAAGAAACUAAAUAGGAUUCCCCUAGUAACGGCGAGUGAAAAGGGAAGAGCCCAACCCGAGAAUCCAUCAACUCGUGUGGUGGAAUUGUGGGUUAUGGAGGCAGUGUCAGUAAAGGACCUGGUCUAAGUGUGUUGGAAUGCACUGGCAGAGAGGGUGAGACCCCCGUUCUGGGCUGGGAUACCUUUGCGUACGACUUGUUUUCCUAGAGUAGGUUUGCUUGAGAGUGCAGACUGAAGUGGGAGGUAAAUUCCUUCCAAGGCUAAAUACAUGUGAGAGACCGAUAGCGCACAAGUACCGUGAGGGAAAGGUGAAAAGGACUUUGAAAAGAGAGUCAAAAGUACUUGAAAUUGUCAGUAUACAAGCGAUAGAGUCUAGUGCAUGGCCUCGCCAUAUUUCCUGGGUGUUUUGAUGUCCAGGUUCUGUGAGUGAGGCUUGUGUCAGCAUUGAUUCGCGAUGCAGGAAAAAGGCUUUUGUCUGGGUAGGUAUUCCUUCGGGGAUGCUGAUGAGAUGGUUGUCAGUAACUGUGUUGUUGAUUGUGUGCUGACGAAAUGGGCUUUAUCGACCCGUCUUGAAACACGGACCAAGGAGUCUUACGCAUUGGCGAGUCAAUGGGUGGUAAACCCUACGGCGCAAUGAAAGUGAAUGAGUACUUGUGCUCAGAGGUGUGCAGCUGUUUGACAGCUUCAACAUCGCCCGGCAGUUCAUUUAUGUUCUGUUCGAGGUCGAGCCUAUUCGUAAGGACCCGAAAGAUGGUGAACUAUGCCUGAGCAGGGUGAAGCCAGGGGAAACUCUGGUGGAAGCUCGUAGCGAUACUGACGUGCAAAUCGUUCGUCGGACUUGGGUAUAGGGGCGAAAGACUAAUCGAACCAUCUAGUAGCUGGUUCCCUC